GGGAGUUACUUUAUUUAGGAUGAUUAGAGAUGACUUCUGAGGAGACAUCUGAGUAGAGACCUGAAUCAAGUGAGAAGCAAAUUAUGAGAAUAUCUGGGAGUAAGAACAUUCCAGGGCAGGGGUACAGAAAAUGCAAAGGUCUUGAGGAGGAAUGAGCUUGGUGUGUUUGAGGAACACCAAGAAAGCCAGUAAGACUGGAAGGGACAGAGUGGUAGCAGGGAGACCAGCUAGGAGGCUGGCAGCAGCUCAGGCAAUAGGGGAGGGUGGCUUAUGCUAAGGUAGAGGUGAUGAAAGUGGCUGAAUUGGGUACUUAUUUUGAAGAUAGAGCUGACAGGUUUUGCUAAUGAUGGUGGGCAUGGGUGAAAGAGGAAUCAAGUAUGACUCUUAGAUUUUUGGACUGAACAACUGAAUGAAUGGUUGUGCUAUUUAUUAAGAUGGGGAAGACCAAGGAGAACAGCAGGUUUAGGAGGAAAAUCAAGAGAUCUCCUUUGGAUGUUAAGUUCGAGGUGGCUGGUAGACAUUAUAUUCCUUAUUUUCCAAAAUUUCUGAAGAGGCUGAGAAAAUGUUAGAAAUUGGGGGAGACAAGUUUCCCUUAGAGAGCAGGAAGUUACUAAGUAGUCCUGGAAAGAACAUCAGUUGCAGAUGUGACCCCUCUGAGAUUAAUAUAUCUGAUGAAAUGCCUAAAACUACAGUUUGGAAAGCUCUCAGUAUGAAUUCUGGAAAUGCAAAGGAAAAGAGGUAAAGAGAACUGUAACAUCUGAUUUUUAUUUAUUUCUGGCUUUUGACAAUGGCG
This 793-nucleotide long non-coding RNA is filed under the name Pan troglodytes (chimpanzee). RNAcentral's name for it is "long non-coding RNA NONPTRT003892". Lineage: Eukaryota; Metazoa; Chordata; Mammalia; Primates; Hominidae. The record is from RNAcentral.